This 2161-nucleotide long non-coding RNA is filed under the name Bos grunniens (domestic yak). RNAcentral describes it as "lncRNA (ENSBGRG00000015574.1)". The record is from RNAcentral. Lineage: Eukaryota; Metazoa; Chordata; Mammalia; Artiodactyla; Bovidae.
UGCCUCAACUCUGAGCCAGCACUCUAGAGCCUGGAAGCUGCAACUACUGAAGCCCGUGCACCCAGGAGAAGCCGCAGCAAGUGAGGAGCAUGAGCACUGCAACUGGGCGUGGCCCUACUUGCUGAACUUGGGGAAAGGCCAAGCAGCAGCGAUCACUCACCCCUGCCAAAGAAAUGAAUACACCGAUGUAUUAAAAAUAACAGAUGCAUUUAAAAAAAAAAAAAAGAGGUUGGAUUCUGGAAGAAGCCACAGUAUAUGGCAUUACUUCCAAGUAGGAAGUUCUGUUUCUGAUCUGAACAUUAUCUCCAUUCUUGUGGCACAAGGAAGAAGACCCCUGGAUUGUGGAGAAUGAAGUGCUAAUAGCAAAAAUCCAGAUGAGUGGGAAUGCAUGGACCCUGCCCAGAGGACCUUGUACCAGGACGUGAUGGUGGAGACCCUCAGGAACCAGCUGUCUGUGGAGCUGGAUUCUACACCUGCCAAUGCAGGAGACACGGGUUGGAUCCUUGGUCUUGGAAGAUCCCACACGUCACAGAGCAGCUACGCCUCUGUGCCUCAACUACGAGCCAGCACUCUAGAGCCUGGAAGCUGCAACUACUGAAGCCCGUGCACCCAGGAGAAGCCGCAGCAAGGGAGGAGCAUGAGCACUGCAACUGGAGCGUAGCCCCUACUUGCUGAACUUGGGGAAAAGGCCAAGCAGCAACGAACACUCACCUGAGCCAAAAGAAAUGAAUACACCAAUGUGUUAAAAAUAACAGAUGCAUUUAUUAAAAAAGAGAGAGAGGGAGAGAGGUUGGAUUCUGGAAGAAGCCACAGUAUAUAGCAUUACUUCUGAGUAGGAAUUUCUCUUUCUGAUCUGAAUGUUAUCUCCAUUCUUGUGGCACAAGGAAGAAGACCCCUGGAUUGUGGAGAAUGAAGUGCUAAUAGCAAAAAUCCAGAUGAGUGGGAAAGUAUCUACAGUGUGAUCACAGGUCAACUGUUACAAGGACAGAGAGGAAGCCACACCGCUCAUGGGGUUUGGGUGGGAGAGUUCUGUGAGAAAACAGAUGUUUAAUGUUUGUGAACUCUUACAGGAGAUUUUUCUUCUCCAUAACUUAGGGCUCUGUUCUUCGACAUGUGAAAUGUACAGCACCCUCGAGUGGUGCUGUAGCACCCAUGGAGAUGAAGGCAAGAUCUUUUUUUUAGGCUUGUACUGGGUCUUUUUUGCUGUGUGGACUUUUGUCUAUUUGAGAAGAGUGAGGGCUAUUCUCUAGUUGCGGGGAGCACGGUUUCUCAUUGUGGUGGCUUCUUUUGUUGUGAAGCCCGGGCCCUAGGCACACGGGUUUGAGUAGUUCUACCAUACAAGCUCAGUAUCUGUGGCUCAUCAACUUCUUCUCCGUUGCCGGGAGCCGGCAUAUUGCAUAUUGAGUGCAGCACUUUCCACAGCAUCAUCUUUCAGGAUCUGGAAUAGCUCAACUGGAAUUCUAUCACUGCCGGCAGCCAGCGUGAGGAGCUCCGCCCAUGACAAAGGUCAUGAGGAAGGAGGCUCGGCAUACGCAAAGGCGGGAUCGAGCUUCAGGAGUCCCUCUGGAAAUUCUCGAGCAUAUACCCCCAAAACCAGAGUCUGCCUACUUUCUGCUUUGAGCUUUCACCUACACGUCUGACUUUACGGGGGGCUGUCCCCCACUACCUCUCUGAAAAAAGAGUUAGCUUACAGCUCCAGUUAAUAAUUCCUGGGUGUGACAGUGUUUAACCUACAAACUCCUUUGGAAAUCCUCUAGCCUGCCUGAAUAGGUUUUUCUGGCCACAUGUGAUUGUUCAGAGCCUCCCAACUGUGAGAGGCAGGAGAUGUUCUAAACUGUCUAAACACAGAUUCUUUUGAGUAGUUAAAAGAUUGAUUAGAAAUUGUAUUGGUGAAGGGAUUUUCACUUGUUGGGCCAAUGUUUGCUGCUAAGUUUCCAUAUCCCUUACCUGCUGUGUCCCUGGCAGUGUAUUGAUUAAUAUAAUUGGUGUAAGUAGUAGCUUUAAUGUUUGUAACCUGGGACCCUUGAGUUAAUUCUUUUCUUGUUAUAGCCCACCACACCUUUGCGCUGUAGGAAUGCAACUUUAUCUAAUGCUUUUGGAGGGUGGCUCCUGACCAAUCACCUUUAGAGAAAAAUAAGUUUUCUGAAGAAAAGGUCUUAAA